CAUUAACACAUUAAACGUUACCGGCACCCCUCAACAGGGUGUGCUCGGACCGUUCAAACCCCCUGCGUACACGUACUUCUGUUGCUUCCCGUCCACUGCUUCGGCUUUGCGGCGGGGAGGUCUACCGAAACUCCUGUCUUCUCAUGCAGUCUGUAGAUGGCGGCUAGUCCGCGAAAACUAAAAAGUUAAAACUUUCAACAACGGAUCUCUUGGUUCUCGCAUCGAUGAAGAACGCAGCGAAAUGCGAUAAGUAGUGUGAAUUGCAGAAUUCAGUGAAUCAUCGAAUCUUUGAACGCACAUUGCGCCCUCUGGUAUUCCGGAGGGCAUGCCUGUCCGAGCGUCGUCAAACCCCCUCAAGCUUGCUUUUGCUACAGCUUGGUUAUGGCCGAAGAUCGCACGUCCCUUCGGGGUCGGUGUUCCCGGCUGAAAGAGAUCUGGCGGAGAGCCUGGUCUCCACGGAUGUAGUAAGCUUCAUGCCUAUCUUCCGUUGGUGUGGCCAGUUAUCCAGCCGUCAACCUCACUUCUUCUGGUUGAC
RNAcentral lists this ribosomal RNA (535 nucleotides) under Pithya sp. T5N32c. RNAcentral's name for it is "eukaryotic LSU rRNA". The stretch from base 190 to 343 matches the Rfam family "5.8S ribosomal RNA". The record is from RNAcentral. Lineage: Eukaryota; Fungi; Ascomycota; Pezizomycetes; Pezizales; Sarcoscyphaceae.